AUGCGUAGGUGGCAAGCGUUGUCCGGAUUUAUUGGGCUUAAAGCGAGCGCAGGCGGUUUUUAAGUCUGAUGUGAAAGCCUUCGGCUCAACCGAAGAAGUGCAUCGGAAACUGGGAAACUUGAGUGCAGAAGAGGACAGUGGAACUCCAUGUGUAGCGGUGAAAUGCGUAGAUAUAUGGAAGAACACCAGUGGCGAAGGCGGCUGUCUGGUCUGUAACUGACGCUGAGGCUCGAAAGUAUGGGUAGCAAACAGGAUUAGAUACCCUGGUAGUCCAUACCGUAAACGAUGAAUGCUAAGUGUUGGAGGGUUUCCGCCCUUCAGUGCUGCAGCUAACGCAUUAAGCAUUCCGCCUGGGGAGUACGGCCGCAAGGCUGAA
RNAcentral lists this ribosomal RNA (376 nucleotides) under uncultured bacterium. RNAcentral's name for it is "bacterial SSU rRNA". It matches the Rfam family "Bacterial small subunit ribosomal RNA", at positions 523 to 898 of the family's 1533-position model. The record is from RNAcentral.